GUAACAAGGUAGCCGUACCGGAAGGUGCGGCUGGAUCACCUCCUAACAGGGAGACAACAAAAUGUAAAUAUUAAUUUUGUCACCUUAGGUCGAUCGGUAUCUCAGAUUCUUAUUUUUUAAGAAUUUCAGUUUUUAAGUUUUUUCUAGGUCACACCCAUCACUUUUUCCUGGGCCAUUAGCUCAGGUGGUUAGAGCGCACCCCUGAUAAGGGUGAGGUCCCUGGUUCAAGUCCAGGAUGGCCCAUAUCUYUAAGUUGGGGGUAUAGCUCAGUUGGUAGAGCGCCUGCUUUGCAAGCAGGAUGUCAGCGGUUCGAGUCCGCUUACCUCCACUGAAUACCACCUCUUACAUUUAUUUAAAGAUGGAAAUUGUUUUGAGUUGUGUCCUAAUUUGCUCUGAGCGAAUCUAGCUUCCUAUUUUAUUCAAUAAAUAAGAUGCUGGACUCAUUGAAUUUUUUCAUUGUUUUCAGAGAACCUUGACAACUGCAUAGAUUUUUUUUUGAAGACAAUAAGCAUCUUUAAUGAUGCAGAUUUAUUAUUUGUGCGAAUGCAUUAAAUAACAAUUCUAUUAAGCUGAUGCUUCAAUUAUUGAAGUUAUUGGUCAAGC
RNAcentral lists this unclassified non-coding RNA (603 nucleotides) under uncultured Prochlorococcus sp. Its description in RNAcentral is "partial may contain 16S ribosomal RNA, 16S-23S ribosomal RNA intergenic spacer, and 23S ribosomal RNA". The stretch from base 256 to 328 matches the Rfam family "tRNA". The record is from RNAcentral. Lineage: Bacteria; Bacillati; Cyanobacteriota; Cyanophyceae; Synechococcales; Prochlorococcaceae.